GCAGCUUACACAUGCAGUCGAGCGGGGAAGGGUAGCUUGCUACCUGACCUAGCGGCGGACGGGUGAGUAAUGCUUAGGAAUCUGCCUAUUAGUGGGGGACAACAUUCCGAAAGGAAUGCUAAUACCGCAUACGCCCUACGGGGGAAAGCAGGGGAUCUUCGGACCUUGCGCUAAUAGAUGAGCCUAAGUCAGAUUAGCUAGUUGGUGGGGUAAAGGCCUACCAAGGCGACGAUCUGUAGCGGGUCUGAGAGGAUGAUCCGCCACACUGGGACUGAGACACGGCCCAGACUCCUACGGGAGGCAGCAGUGGGGAAUAUUGGACAAUGGGCGAAAGCCUGAUCCAGCCAUGCCGCGUGUGUGAAGAAGGCCUUUUGGUUGUAAAGCACUUUAAGCGAGGAGGAGGCUACCGAGAUUAAUACUCUUGGAUAGUGGACGUUACUCGCAGAAUAAGCACCGGCUAACUCUGUGCCAGCAGCCGCGGUAAUACAGAGGGUGCGAGCGUUAAUCGGAUUUACUGGGCGUAAAGCGUGCGUAGGCGGCUUUUUAAGUCGGAUGUGAAAUCCCUGAGCUUAACUUAGGAAUUGCAUUCGAUACUGGGAAGCUAGAGUAUGGGAGAGGAUGGUAGAAUUCCAGGUGUAGCGGUGAAAUGCGUAGAGAUCUGGAGGAAUACCGAUGGCGAAGGCAGCCAUCUGGCCUAAUACUGACGCUGAGGUACGAAAGCAUGGGGAGCAAACAGGAUUAGAUACCCUGGUAGUCCAUGCCGUAAACGAUGUCUACUAGCCGUUGGGGCCUUUGAGGCUUUAGUGGCGCAGCUAACGCGAUAAGUAGACCGCCUGGGGAGUACGGUCGCAAGACUAAAACUCAAAUGAAUUUGACGGGGGCCCGCACAAGCGGUGGAGCAUGG
RNAcentral lists this ribosomal RNA (904 nucleotides) under Acinetobacter johnsonii. RNAcentral describes it as "bacterial SSU rRNA". It matches the Rfam family "Bacterial small subunit ribosomal RNA", at positions 42 to 942 of the family's 1533-position model. The record is from RNAcentral. Lineage: Bacteria; Pseudomonadati; Pseudomonadota; Gammaproteobacteria; Moraxellales; Moraxellaceae.